Maniola jurtina (meadow brown) is the source of this 1302-nucleotide long non-coding RNA. RefSeq lists it as uncharacterized. NCBI's taxonomy places the organism in Eukaryota, Metazoa, Arthropoda, Insecta, Lepidoptera, Nymphalidae. The transcript is spliced from 3 exons. The record is from RefSeq and is a predicted model, not a curated record.
GGCCCCAAGUCUACUAUUGCAAUUGUGUUUCAGUUGUCUAUCAAUGACAUCGUAAUUGCUACUUUUAGCAAUUUUGGUAGUCUACUAAUUCAAUGGCGUCACAAUUGUCUUCCGAUGGCGUGCCACUGACACUUCAAUGACACAAUUGUAAAUAGUUGGUAGUCCCGUACUUAAUGGCAAGUCAAUGAUCGAAUUUAAGCGUAGUCUGCUAAUAGUUUGACAGUUCCAGUGACCAUUGGAUUGCCAUUGAACUAUCAUUGAUGCGCCACUGUGCUGUCAUUGCUUUUAUGCCAGUGUUUGUCAGUGUUUGUUUGGUUUUACAAGGGUUUUACAUCAUGUUUAGCAAUAGUUUGGGUAUUUAGUUGUUAUCUUUCCACGUUGUAAGGUGAACACCUAGGCAUAAUGUCUAGAAUAAGAUGGAAUAUUUUGGAAUUGGCCAACGCGGCUGAUAGGUACUCAACAACGCUAUCGUUCGGAGCCUUAGCAUUUUACAGAGGCACUCAAUGCCAAAUUUAACAAAUAUGUUAAAUGGCCCAUCCAGCAUGACCGGAAUGCCAUGAAAGCUAAAUGUUUACUCCGAGCACAUGCUUUGCAUUACAGUCCAAUCACCACAGGCAAGAUUGUGAAUGCAUGUUAUAUUUUGCACAGUAUUGCAAACAAGACCAACGCACGUGCCUCCACUCAUGCCUGUGGAAGCUCUUCAUCUGCAACAGGAUGAACACAAUUCAAGGGCCGAGAGUUGGAAAGUGCUAUUGAAGGACAGCAUUCACAAAGCCAUCGAGUUAACCAAGGUCUGCUUGAAGGUAGAGUGCUGCAGCAGGCUCUCAUCAACAGGCUGUGGAGAAAUGCAUGAAAUUAAUAAUAAAUAAUUAAAAUAAAUGAUUUUGAAUUUUGACUAGACUUUGAUUAGAUUUUUAAAGAAAAAAUAAUAUUUCUUUCCUAUAAUCCGCAUAACUGUUUAGCGAUUGUAGCGAAACAUAGGAAUAUUAAUUUUUCUUUAAAUAUCAUGGAAUUCCACAAUGUAAUGUCUGUUUCUAUUCAAUAUUUGAUUAGAUUAAUAUUGGAAACUCCAAGCAUAGUAAUUGAUUAUAAUUUGCUGAUCUGACACCAUUACCAGAGUAUUUUCCAUUUAAUUUCUUUGAACAGACACUAAAUUGUACCUUGAAUGUAGUCAUCAGAUUCUGAUCCUGAUAGCUGUUUUGUGGGACAUUUCUGAAAACAAUAAACUACUGUUUAUUCAAUACUAGAGGAUGCCCGCGGCUUCGCCCGCGUGGAUUUCGGUUUUUUAAAAUCCCGCAGGAA